This is a long non-coding RNA of Anneissia japonica, 161 nucleotides long. RefSeq lists it as uncharacterized. NCBI's taxonomy places the organism in Eukaryota, Metazoa, Echinodermata, Crinoidea, Comatulida, Comatulidae. The transcript is spliced from 2 exons. The record is from RefSeq and is a predicted model, not a curated record.
CUUGGGUAGUAAACAAUAUGUUGCUCCACUCUCGGAGAGCGAGGAAUGAAGAAUUCCUCAUCUUAUUGAUUCCUGCUUAAAAAUUUCUUAGUAAAUAUGGCCGAUGAAAAAACAUCAUUAUUUGGGGAAUCUCAAUACAACAGUUCAGCAUCAGAAGGCAA